GAUGAACGCUGGCGGCGGGCCUAAUACAUGCAAGUCGAGCGAACGGACGAGAAGCUCUUUCUCCUGCUGUUAGCGGCGGACGGGUGAGUAACGCGUGGAUAACCUACCUCUAUGUCUGGGAUAAUUUCGGAGAAACGGUGACAAUAAUACCUCAUACUUCCUACGGCUUGAAUCAGAAGUGCAUGACGGUCUUGCCGUCUCUUUUAGCUGGUUUCGCGCUGCAUUAGCUAGUUGGUAAGGUAACGGCUAACCAAGGCGACGAUGCGUAGCCGACCUGAGAGGGUGAUCAGCCACACUGGAACUGAGACACGGUCCAGACUCCUACGGGAGGCAGCAGUGGGGAAUCUUGGACAAUGGGCGAAAGCCUGAUGGAGCAACACCGCGUGAGUGAAGAAGGCCUUCGGAUUGUAAAGCUCUGUUGUUGGGGAAGAACAUAAGUAGGUGUAACUGUGGACGUCUUGACGGUACCUAAAGAAUAAGCCCCGGCUAACUACGUG
RNAcentral lists this ribosomal RNA (497 nucleotides) under uncultured bacterium. RNAcentral describes it as "partial 16S ribosomal RNA". It matches the Rfam family "Bacterial small subunit ribosomal RNA", at positions 28 to 507 of the family's 1533-position model. The record is from RNAcentral.